RNAcentral lists this long non-coding RNA (411 nucleotides) under Zonotrichia albicollis (white-throated sparrow). Its description in RNAcentral is "lncRNA (ENSZALG00000001935.1)". Lineage: Eukaryota; Metazoa; Chordata; Aves; Passeriformes; Passerellidae. The record is from RNAcentral.
CCUAAACACAGCCCUGAGACCCCAAACCCACCCCAAACCCCACCCUAAAUACAGCCCUGAGACCCCAAACCCAUCCCAAAGGCCGCAUGUGCAGGGCCCGGAGCAUGGCCUGGGACCCCAAAAACAUCCUAAAUCCAUUCCAAAUCCCACCCAGAGACCCCAAAAACACCACAAAUCCAUCCCAAAUCCUAAAUGGGACCCCAAAUCCCACCCAGAGACCCCAAAAACACCACAAAUCCAACCCUGGGACCCCAAAUCCAUCCCAAAUCCCACCCAGAGAGCCCAAAUCCAGCCCAGAGCCUUCUAAUCCCAUCCAGACCCCAAAUCCCCAAAUCCCAGCCCAAAGUCCCAGUCCCAGUUCCCAUUCCCAGUUCAUUCCCAGUUUAUCCCAGUCAAUCCCAGUUUAUCCCA